AAGAACUUCCAGACGGGAGGGGAUGGCAGGAGCAGGUGAAGACCCCGGCCUGGGCAAGGCCGCAGCUUUGCUGGGGCCGUGAGCCCCCAGGAGGAGGAGGAGUUCCGUCGCCUGGCUGCCCUCCCCAAUGUCUAUGAGGUCAUCUCCAAGAGCAUCGCCCCCUCCAUCUUUGGGGGCACGGACAUGAAGAAGGCCAUUGCCUGCCUGCUCUUUGGGGGCUCCCGAAAGAGGCUCCCUGAUGGACUUACUCGCCGAGGAGACAUCAACCUGCUGAUGCUAGGGGACCCUGGGACAGCCAAGUCCCAGCUUCUGAAGUUUGUGGAGAAGUGUUCUCCCAUUGGGGUAUACACGUCUGGGAAAGGCAGCAGCGCAGCUGGACUGACAGCCUCGGUGAUGAGGGACCCUUCGUCCCGGAAUUUCAUCAUGGAGGGCGGAGCCAUGGUCCUGGCCGAUGGUGGGGUCGUCUGUAUUGACGAGUUUGACAAGAUGCGAGAAGAUGACCGUGUGGCAAUCCACGAAGCCAUGGAGCAGCAGACCAUCUCUAUCGCCAAGGCUGGGAUCACCACCACCCUGAACUCCCGCUGCUC
Molecule: small RNA, 587 nt
Filed under: Pan troglodytes (chimpanzee)
Lineage: Eukaryota; Metazoa; Chordata; Mammalia; Primates; Hominidae
Description: processed transcript
Source: RNAcentral